This 489-nucleotide ribosomal RNA is filed under the name Luetkenotyphlus fredi. RNAcentral's name for it is "partial large subunit ribosomal RNA". It matches the Rfam family "Bacterial large subunit ribosomal RNA", at positions 1853 to 2584 of the family's 2925-position model. Lineage: Eukaryota; Metazoa; Chordata; Amphibia; Gymnophiona; Siphonopidae. The record is from RNAcentral.
CACUGCCUGCCCACUGAUAUAUUAUUUUUAACGGCCGCGGUAUUCUGACCGCGCAAAGGUAGCAUAAUCACUUGUCUUUUAAAUAAAGACUAGUAUGAACGGCAAAACGAAAGCUUAACUGUCUCCUUUAUCCAGUCAAUGAAACUGAUCCCCUGGUACAAAAGCCAGAAUUUAACAAUAAGACGAGAAGACCCUAUGGAACUUUAAACACGCACCAACCCACUGUCUACUACAAAAGACUUGACACGCUGUUUUUGGUUGGGGCAACCACGGAGAAAAACUAUCCUCCAAGAAAAUUAAACCGAGUAACACAAAACAAAGUUUCACCACCUUACCACGACCCAGUACAACUGAUCAACGAACCAAGCUACCCUAGGGAUAACAGCGCUAUCUCCUCCAAGAGUCCAUAUCGCCGAGAAGGUUUACGACCUCGAUGUUGGAUCAGGGUACCCAGACAGUGCAGCCGCUGCCAAAGGUUUGUUUGUUCAA